UCAGAACGAACGCUGGCGGCAGGCUUAACACAUGCAAGUCAAACGAGACCUUCGGGUCUAGUGGCGGACGGGUGAGUAACGCGUGGGAAUUUGCCUUUCGGUGCGGGACAACCAAGGGAAACUUUGGCUAAUACCGCAUACGCCCUACGGGGGAAAGAUUUAUCGCCGAAAGAGAAGCCCGCGUCGGAUUAGCUUGUUGGUAGGGUAAUGGCCUACCAAGGCGACGAUCCGUAGCUGGUCUGAGAGGAUGACCAGCCACACUGGGACUGAGACACGGCCCAGACUCC
RNAcentral lists this ribosomal RNA (287 nucleotides) under unidentified marine bacterioplankton. RNAcentral's name for it is "partial 16S ribosomal RNA". It matches the Rfam family "Bacterial small subunit ribosomal RNA", at positions 24 to 339 of the family's 1533-position model. The record is from RNAcentral. RNAcentral also lists the same sequence under 1 other name.